RNAcentral lists this ribosomal RNA (467 nucleotides) under uncultured bacterium. RNAcentral describes it as "partial 16S ribosomal RNA". It matches the Rfam family "Bacterial small subunit ribosomal RNA", at positions 28 to 506 of the family's 1533-position model. The record is from RNAcentral.
GACGAACGCUGGCGGCGUGCUUAACACAUGCAAGUCGAACGGAAAGGCCCUGCUUUUGUGGGGUGCUCGAGUGGCGAACGGGUGAGUAACACGUGAGUAACCUGCCCUUGACCUUGGGAUAACUUCAGGAAACUGGGGCUAAUACCGGAUAGGAGCUCCUGCUGCAUGGUGGGGGUUGGAAAGUUUCGGCGGUUGGGGAUGGACUCGCGGCUUAUCAGCUUGUUGGUGGGGUAGUGGCUUACCAAGGCUUUGACGGGUAGCCGGCCUGAGAGGGUGACCGGCCACAUUGGGACUGAGAUACGGCCCAGACUCCUACGGGAGGCAGCAGGGGGGAAUAUGGCACAAUGGGCGGAAGCCUGAUGCAGCAACGCCGCGUGCGGGAGGACGGCCUUCGGGUGGUAAACCGCUUUCGCCUGUGACGAAGCGUGAGUGACGGUAAUGGGUAAAGAAGCACCGGCGAACUACGU